AGAUCUCCACCUGAUGCCUCCCCGAAAGGCAUCCACCAGAUGAUCUACAGCCUCCGUGGUCAGAUCUCAGCGAGAUCCGCAAGCUCCGGCCUCGUCUCCAGUUUUCCAAGCUCUUCCUCCUCCGACAACGACGGUCAGCAUGGAGCAGUUCGACCUACUGGUUAAGCAAGUCAGGGGCCUCACUGAAGCAGUGCAGGUGAUGCAGCAGCAGCA
RNAcentral lists this long non-coding RNA (213 nucleotides) under Elaeis guineensis (African oil palm). RNAcentral's name for it is "long non-coding RNA (EGUI_LNC081732)". Lineage: Eukaryota; Viridiplantae; Streptophyta; Magnoliopsida; Arecales; Arecaceae. The record is from RNAcentral.